This is a long non-coding RNA of Lolium perenne, 831 nucleotides long. RefSeq lists it as uncharacterized. The record is from RefSeq and is a predicted model, not a curated record. Lineage: Eukaryota; Viridiplantae; Streptophyta; Magnoliopsida; Poales; Poaceae.
UAGGCCUUGUUCGGUGCAAGUGUUUUGUUGGGAGUUUUGUAGUGUUUUGGGGUGUAAAAUCAAAGCCCGGUUAAAACACGCUAAAACACUCUAAAACACUUCAGGGCCAUUCGGCGGGCCGGUUUCAGCAGGGUAACGGUCCAGGAAACACCCCAAUACACGUCGGGCCGAGGUGGAAUCGAAACGCUCCACCCCCCUCGCGUUUUCUCGCUGGCGGCGCAGCGCCCGUCGAAGCCGCCGCUCCAAGACGCCGCCGCUGCCGCCGCUCCAAGCAGCCGCCGCCGCUGACGCUCCAAGCCGCCUUCGCCGCUGCCGUUGACGUCGUCCCGCAGCAAAGCCAGCGACGUUCCCUCCCAAGAGCACAGAUCUAGCCGCGCGGCUCUGGCGGCACAGCCACGAUUUGACGACGACCGUCGCCUCCCUCCCUCCCCGACGUCCUUGGCCUCCCUCUCCCCCAGUCCUUCUUCUUCGGUAGAAGCUGGACUUCUCUCAGGUCGUGCAACCGGUGGAGUGAAUGGAUGACCCGCUUCAACUCUGGAGUUUAUGGAGUGUCAUUUGUGGGGUGAACAAUAACAAGCUAGUCCAUGAUACCCAUUUUAUAUUCGUUCCCUUGCUCUUUUCUACUUGAUAUAAAAUCAUUUGUAUGUAUGCCUUAUGACCAAACCUGUGUUGAGUCAUGAGAGAUGUAAGUUCCCAGCAGAGAUUAUACGGUAUAACCUGUGUUGCUGUGUUGGGGUCAUGAGAGAAAUGUUGCCUGUCAGUUUGCAAGUUAAACCCAUACUCCCCUGUUCCUAAGAUUGCACUAUAUAUAUAGUUAUUAGUUUUGCAUAA